UACAGAGGUCUCAAGCGUUGUUCGGAUUCAUUGGGCGUAAAGGGUGCGUAGGCGGCGCGCUAAGUCGGGUGUGAAAUUUCGGAGCUUAACUCCGAAACUGCAUUCGAUACUGGCGUGCUUGAGGACUGGAGAGGAGACUGGAAUUCAUGGUGUAGCAGUGAAAUGCGUAGAGAUCAUGAGGAAGACCAGUGGCGAAGGCGGGUCUCUGGACAGUUCCUGACACUGAGGCACGGAGGCCAGGGGAGCAAACGGG
This 253-nucleotide ribosomal RNA is filed under the name uncultured bacterium. RNAcentral's name for it is "partial 16S ribosomal RNA". It matches the Rfam family "Bacterial small subunit ribosomal RNA", at positions 524 to 776 of the family's 1533-position model. The record is from RNAcentral.